Molecule: ribosomal RNA, 456 nt
Filed under: Bulinus ugandae
Lineage: Eukaryota; Metazoa; Mollusca; Gastropoda; Planorbidae
Description: partial large subunit ribosomal RNA
Rfam family: Bacterial large subunit ribosomal RNA
Source: RNAcentral
UCGCCUGUUUAUCAAAAACAUAGUUUAGUGAAAAAUUAUACUAAAUGAAUUCUGCCCAGUGUUUUAAUAAAUGGCCGCAGUACCCUGACUGUGCUAAGGUAGCAUAAUCAAUUGGCUUUUAAUUGAAGUCUGGAAUGAAUGAAAUAAUGGAGGAAUGCUGUCUUAAAAGUAUUAAUUUAAAUUUAUUUAAAAGGUGAAAAUACCUUUUUUUAAAAAAAAGACGAGAAGACCCUAAGAAUUUUUAGAUUAAUUUCAAAAUUAAUCUUUUUGUUGGGGCGACAGAUUAGAAAAACUAAACCUAAUUUUUUAAAUUGGCGAAUUUUUUAAGUAAUAAAAAAUUACCUUAGGGAUAACAGCAUAAUGUAAAAUUUUUUAUGUUUGUGACCUCGAUGUUGGACUAGGAACUUUAUGGCUAGCAGUCAGAAAAGAUUUAUUCUGUUCGAAUAAUUUAAUCCU